RNAcentral lists this ribosomal RNA (404 nucleotides) under Acidobacteriota bacterium. Its description in RNAcentral is "Acidobacteria bacterium partial 16S ribosomal RNA". It matches the Rfam family "Bacterial small subunit ribosomal RNA", at positions 355 to 776 of the family's 1533-position model. Lineage: Bacteria; Pseudomonadati; Acidobacteriota. The record is from RNAcentral.
UGGGGAAUAUUGCACAAUGGGGGAAACCCUGAUGCAGCGACGCCGCGUGAAGGAAGAAGUAUUUCGGUAUGUAAACUUCUAUCAGCAGGGAAGAAGAUGACGGUACCUGAGUAAGAAGCACCGGCUAAAUACGUGCCAGCAGCCGCGGUAAUACGUAUGGUGCAAGCGUUAUCCGGAUUUACUGGGUGUAAAGGGAGCGUAGACGGAUAGGCAAGUCUGGAGUGAAAACCCAGGGCUCAACUCUGGGACUGCUUUGGAAACUGCAGAUCUGGAGUACCGGAGAGGUAAGCGGAAUUCCUAGUGUAGCGGUGAAUUGCGUAGUUAUUAGGAGGAACACCAGUGGCGAAGGCGGCUUAUUGGACGGUGACUGACGUUGAGGCUCGAAAGCGUGGGGAGCAAACAGG